RNAcentral lists this long non-coding RNA (12150 nucleotides) under Nicotiana tabacum (common tobacco). RNAcentral describes it as "long non-coding RNA (NTAB_LNC009427)". The record is from RNAcentral. Lineage: Eukaryota; Viridiplantae; Streptophyta; Magnoliopsida; Solanales; Solanaceae.
UUUUCGGGUGAAAAGACCUCCGGACGGCUCAAAUCAAACCAAAAUAACUGCAAAGUACAAAUAAAAAGUAUAAGAAACUAUUCCGGAUCUUAAAGUCUCAAUCUUGAAUAAGAUUCAAAAAAGGUCCAAAAGUCGACCCUUGAGCCCACACCUCGGAACUCGACAAAUUUUAAAAAAACCGAAUCCCCAUUCUGAUAUGAGUUUAAACAUACAAAAAUUAUCAAAUUUUGAUACCAUUUGGUCCCUCAAAUCAUGAUUUUUCAUCUCAGAAAUUUUCUUCAAAAACCAACAUUUCCCUCAACCAAAAGCACAAUUUAAAUGAUGAAAACAAAUAUAAAAUCAUGGAAUAUGUUAAAUUAUAGGUGAAGAACACUUACCCAAUCGAUUUGCUUGAAAACCCCUUGAUGAAUUGCUCAAAACCGAGCUCUACAAGUCAAGACAUGAUAAAAAUGGACUAACCCAUGAUUUGGGAAUAUAUUCUACCUCCCCAGGUAUUUAUGCAUCAUGAACACGGAGGAAGCAUCGCAUUUGGGAAGAAGAAAAAUGAUGGAUGCCCAGGUUGUUCAUCGCGAACGCGACAAUAAGCUCGCGAAUGUAGAGAAGAGAAGAUAUAAACCUAUGCGAAAGCGUAGGGAAUCAUGCGAAUGCGAAGAGUAACGACCACCAGUACUCAGGGCCUGGUUACUACUACGCAAACACGGAAUUGAGGAUGCGAAUGCGAUGAAGAAAAUGUGCAGGGCUACGUGAUCGCGAGGCGUAUUACGCAAACGCAAAGAAGAAAAUUAGGGAGAUCAGCAGAGUCUCUUCGCGAACGAGAAAGGAGCUUCGCGAUCGCGAAGAAGGAUAUCAGACACUAGAACCAAUAGUUCAAAAACAAGGGAAAAUGACCUGUAACCCACCCGGAACACACCCGAUGCCCCUAGGACCCCAUCUAAACACACAAACAAGUUCUAUAACCCAAUACUGACUCGCUCAAGGUUUUAGUUUACCGUGCAAAUGGUAACAACAAUUAAAUUUGUAAAUGGGAUUCUAAAAAUACGUGAUCUAUUUUUAUACUAGUUGUUAGAGCAGUUGAUGCUGAGAGUAUGAAGUUUAAUGAAGAAAUACAAGCUAAAGCGGGUCAGUAAUCAAACCGAUAUGCCUGCAGCUCGAGCCUCGGACUGGUCGAUGAAGGACCUCGUGGUGGAUAUCUGGAUCGAGCUUGAGCUAUCAAGGGUAGUCGGGGAUGGGAUAACAGUUGAGAUAUGAUCAAAGAAGGCUCUUUAUGGACCAUACCAAGCAAUGAAUGGAGAACAAAUAUGAAGCUAAUAACGGUAAGAGCGGCCUCGAGCUAGUAGGAACGAGUAAGUUAGAGAGAAGAGAGAGAGAGAGAUUAUUGAUCUUGUGGAGAAAAUAGAUGAAGCAACAGUAGUAUGGGUUCCCUUUAUAUAGGAGGGGAACUCGGUUAUAGUACAAUAUACAUUAAUUAUAAAGUAUGGAUAUGGGAUGGCAAGACGUGACACUUCGGCAUAGGCUCUAGAUAGGCCAGCUCUGCCAGACUUUACCAUGUAUCUUGGGAACUUGCCCUCCUGCUCUAGCCCCGACCUUCAUUUUCUUUGAGUCGGGGCCCAAAGAUCCCCGAGGGAGGGGACUCGGUCGCAGCUCCACGUCCUUGGGGUCUCGAGGUAUUCUUCCAAAGUGGCUUCACAGCGAGAAAUUAAGUCCUCUAAUUUUGCCACAUAUAGAUAUUUUCCGCGUUUUUCAGAAAGAAGCGAUGGGAAAUGAUUCUGACACCUGACUCCACGAGCUUCUUACGGCGACGUCAUACCAAUGAUGUAAUUUGUGGCAUGAGCUUUUGUGGAAAUCUGGGCGUCUCAUGGACUUGUAUAUUUGACAUCUUUCAAUGCACUGUCGAUUCUCGUUCUUCAAGAUAAAUGUUCCGUCGUCGGUUUGGUUCUUCAAGAAUGUUUGCGUCCGCCAGUCAAUCUUCCAAAGCCUCGAUGACCAUGUCAUUACCCCCUAUAAAUGGGGGUGGUUUGGCGUUGUUUUUUCUAUCCAAAUACCUUCGUUGGCUCAGUUGCCCAUUUCUUUUUAUCAUCUUCCUCCAUCCUUGAACGCUAUAUGUUUGGGGCUCAUGGCCUCAAGUCCUUUCAGCAGAGUUCCCGUAGGCUUUGUUAUGGCCUCUUGCCGGAGCUUCCCUUUGUCGAGCAUAACCAUUCCGUCCUGUUGCUGCUGUGGUUGCUGUUACGUCUACUACUACUGCUUUUGUUUGCUCGAGAUGAUGACACAUGAGGGUCAACUUUCCUUGCUCGUAAAAAUCUAUUCGUAUUAUAUACUGCUGCUCAAAAGGGGGAUUAGAUUAUACACCGCUGCUCACCUUCAUACACCAGCUCGACGUGGUGCUCUGCCUCGAGCUGGUAGCUUGCACGGCUAGAUAUCCCAAGAAAUAGACUCUAAGUAGCCGUUCAAGCAGGACCGAGGCUCGCCCGGUCCGCUGUCUCUCCGAGGUUCUUUUGGCCAGCGAGGGUCCUCGACCUUCGGAGAGCUACGACAUUUUUUCAUCCCUCCUUGCUGCUCGCCCUAUCCUUUGGGGAUAUCAGUAUGGAAGGCCGAGAUGAGGCUUCUGAGGAUGUGUUCCCGGAGGCACCUAUUGCAGGAGGCAGACCCUUGGAGGUGGACCAGUCUCUUAGGCUUUUAUCUCGCGUGUGCACCCUUUUGUUUCUUCCUUUAUGCAUAAGAACCCCUUGCGGUCUUUUGUAAUUGUAUGUAAGGACCCCUCGAGGGCUGUUGUACAUGGAUAUUUAUGAAUAUGAAGAUACUUCCUUGAUUUUUGUUUUCGAUUCUUGCCCUAUUAUUGUGUGCUAUCGUGCCUUUCAAGGCCUUUAAAUCUUUUCAUUUGUUAUUGACCACUGAUAUAUAACUCUGAUCUGAGCCCUUUGUCGUACCUAGGACCAAGCCUAAAUUUAUCUGAUAGACUCGGGUUGUCGGGCCCUUCAAGUUGCAUGGAGAUAAUAUGCCGAGUUUUGGAGAUUUUGAGAGAGGUAUCCUGAGCAAAGGUCAGCUUUGGGUACCUGGGGGUCUACUUUGAACUUGAUGUAGAUAGCCUUUUAAAGCGUAGUGGAUAGACUUCCGUUGAGGGGUUGCCUAUACAUAGGCGAUGCCUCGAGCCCUCCCAGAGCCUUCAUGAUAGGGGCUUCGCGUGCUUUUUUUUCCUUUUAGAAAGAAAAACCAUGACAUUGGAUACCGACUCGAGUUCUAUGAUGGCAUUGAAGGCUUCCCAAAGCCUGACUUCUUUUUUAGUGGAGAUCCACGAGGUCGGGUACUACCUUGAGACUGGAAACGAUAUAGUUAACUCCUUGAGGCCUAACUUCUUGUUGAUGGAUGCCUCUAAGGUCGGGUACCACCCCGAUAUCUGUACUGAGGCCGCUGGCCUCCCGGGGCUUACUUUGGAUAGGCGAAUCAUUGCUGUUUCCCACAUAUAUGUGGGGUGGAUUUCACUUCUUUGGGAGAUUUCAUUAUUUUGGAUAGGUAUCCCUCCGCCUUGGCAUUAGAUCCUUCGUCUUUUCAGGCACAAAAAGCAUUGGCACAUGUCCUUGCUUUAGUCUGUCAAUUCUACCAUAGCCAUGGCAGCUACUUCGGGUCCAGCCCGGCAGGGAGGGGAGAGUUCCAUUCCCAGCGUCCAGGAUUCGCGGGAGUUCUCUCUGAAGACAUUGACUUCGAUAAAAGAGGAACAUCUGGAGAUGGUGAGGAGAUACUACAAAUGGAGCCAGGGGAUAACGUUGUAGGUGCUUUCCCCGGAGGAUAGUAUUACGGACUCUGUUGAUGGAUUCUUGAGCGUACUAUAUUCUUUCGCAUUUGGCCCCCUUGAUAGGGUCAUGCCUGAUUUAUGCUUGAAGUAUGGGGUUACUUUGGCAUAGAUACAUCCGGCAUUUUGGCGAGUGGUGCUGAUGAUGAGGUUCUUUGCAGGUAUCAGGCUGUUCCUUGGGGUGAGGUUAUGCUCCUCCGGAGAGGGGAAAGAGUCAUCGGCCUCCGAGAUGAGGGACGAUGGUGAUAAAAGGGAUUCGCACCUGCAGUGUGAUAGAGCUUUUAAUGGGGCUCAACAGGCCAGUGUCUUCGAGAAGGGGACAUCGCCCGAGCCUACUAUUCCUGGAGCGUUCGAUUCCAGAAUUGUGGUUCAUUCGAGUGAAUAUGCUUUGACCGAGGUUGGCUCGUCUGGGGCCGAAGGGGCAGGACCAAUAGGAGUGUGCUCUACCUUCGAGGAAGUUCGCCGACUUCACUUCAUGGUGAGUUUCGGCACAGUCCUUCUGUAUUUCGCAUCUUCCUUUCUUUAUCGAGUCUUUCUUUUGCAGGCCUUUGAUAGGCUCAGGUCUGAGCUGCUCUGUCAUUGGUCCAGGCUUCAGAAAGCUCUAGAUGAAUGUGAGUCCCUUAGGCUCCUUAUGAGAACUAUUUGAUGGAGCAGGUGACCUUUCGUAGUACGCGCUUUACCCUUUUUGACCCUAAAGGUUAAUCCUUUUGCCUAUCUUAGCUGCAGAAAAAGAUAGAGACUUUGGAGUACCUUACAGGCGAAGCCGACCGCGUCAGGAAUGCUUGCAGUGAACUGAGGGCUCAGGUGCAAGCUCAAGGCUUAAAGGAGAGGGGUGCCUUGGCCAAGGUUCCUGCCUUCGAGGCCCAACUCCGCUUGGCUCAUGACAAUGCUUCAGUUCAAGCGGAUAUGAUCGUUAGAGUCCGAUCUCUCAAAGGUCAGAGCUAAGAUAAUCGAUGCCCGGGCAGAAGAACCAUUAAGUCAAACCAAGGCUGGUCAGGAGAUGGCGAUUCAUAUGAAGGACGUUGUUGAUGCCCAAGCUGAGUUGAAGCAGGCCAUCGAUUGUAAGAAGAGGAUCGAGGAAUAUGUUCGUUGCAUACCCCAAAGAGAGGUACUCGAGGAGAUCGGCACUAGGAGAAUUGUUCUCUUUGAAGAGUUGGCUCGAGCAAGGGCGGACGAGCGCGAUGCUCGAUCACUUCUUACUGAAAUCAUGGACUGCGAAUCUAGGGCUAGCAGGCUAUAGCCUCUUGGAGCGGAGCAUAGAUUUCACCAUUUUUCUAUUUUGUAUUUGAUAUUUGAUAUUUGCAAAGAAUGUUUAUAGAUGGAGAGCGCACCUUUUGCGUAUGUAAAUAAGAGAAAACUUGAAGCUUUAUCUCUUUUGUAUCUCUUUUUGCAUUGCUUUCGACCAAGCAGGCUGGUUUCAGUGUUUGGCAGGAUCCCCAUGGGUCCGGAGCUAAUUAGGUAGGCCCGAAGGCUCUUAAGUGCGAUUUGUGAUGCGAGUAGGUGUUAGGGCCUUUGUGCUUUGCCCAGCUUUUUCAGGCUUAGUCCCCGAGUCAGGCCUUGACUAGAACUUACUUGACCUUCAAUCUCAUUUGCCUGCAUGGGCGGAUGAUGAUUGUUCUUGUCCCUUGCCCUUGGGCAUUUGUGUUUCAACUAUUUUGGGUCUAGUAUCCGAGUCGCGUUGCGAAUCGAGCUUUAAUUGAUCCUCGAGUUUUUUCGUGCAUGCAUGGGCAGAUGACGAUGGCUCUUGCGCUUUAGGUAGAAGCGACCUUUUAAGUGUGUGGCCCGGAGGCUUGUUUGACUGGCGACAAUGGCACUUAGAUUGUGCCCUUAGGCAUUUGUAGUUAACUAUUUUGGAUCCGGACUUCGAAUCGGGUUACGACUCAAACUCAUUUUAAUCCUCAAGUUUUAAAUUUUCAAGCUGGUGGUAGUGGCUCUUAAUCUGUUUGGUCGUUAAGACCUUUUAGUGUGCGGCCCGGAGGCUCGUUUGGCUGGUGACAAUAGCUCUUAUGCUUUUGCCCAUUGGCAUUUUGUAGGCAUUUUUUUCUUCUCGUUAAGGUCUUUUUGAAAUGAUUUUGCCUGACCCGUCAUCGGUUCGGGAAGAACCUUGAUUUCAAGUCGUUAGCGGCGAUGUUUGAGCACCUCAGAAGGUUCUUAACUCGUAGAUUGAGUAGCUCGAAGCCUUGUGAUUUGGAGCUGACAUGGUCAAAGCUCAUUUACCUGUUGAGGGAAGCCCGUUUUAACCGGUUCUUUUUGAAGUAUAUUCGAAGUAAUGGCAUGCGAUUUUGUUAGCGACAGUCGGGCAUCCCCGAGUCGCAUUAAUUUGGCUGGUGCAACCGUUUUGACUGUAUUAAUAUGUGUUUGGCUGGAUCCAUUUUUGAUCCCGAGUGAUAGUUUAGGCGUCUACACUGAAGGUAUGCCUUUUCGAGAUUCUUACAAAUACGACGUAUGGCCUAAAAUUCAGAAUUGAGUUUUAUGCCUAUAGUAAGGUCUUACAAAAUUUUCAUGCCUGUUGAUGUCUUAUAGUUUGUCAUGCCUGUUGAGGUCUUAUAGUUUGUCAUGCUUGUUGAGGUCUUACAGAUUUGUUGCUAUGUAGAACAGAUCUGGUUAUACUAAGUCUGCCCGCUCAGGGUCUUACGGCCUCAGGUUUUCAAGUGUACGGCGAUUGGCGACAGUCUCUGAAUCAUUGAGUUUUCUUAGGCUCGAAGGCCAUUAUUAGUGAGCUCAGAGUUACCUUGCUAGGGAUUUAUGAGCCCGGAGUUCCGAUCCUGGUGUCGUGCGGGUGUCAAAUUGUUGACGCUAAGUCUCCGAGUAUUUCGGGAUGCAUUUGGUAGCGGGAUCCCUGCCGAGAGUAUGCUGAAAUUUCCUUUUUUGGAGUAUGAGAUGCUGAAAGAUAUUCUUUUAUCUCUUGGCGUAAAUACAUAUUGUUUCAUUGUUGUGAGCUUGGCCUGAGUGGGUGCGGUUCCUUGGAACGUUUGAUCCGGUACAUGAUUCCCUAUUGAAAUUCAAUCUACUGUUCCCCGGCCCUUUCAAGCGGGCGGCGCCUUCAAAGGGGGGGGUGUCCUUCAUCGUUUGAUUGCAGAAGAAGGCCUAUGAUCUUGUAGGAUCCUCCUCAGGGGUUACGUUGCUCCGCUAAGAAACUCGCUGGCGAGACCCUCUUCAGGGCGGAAGUCCGGCCGAGGGGAAAGAGCGCGAUGGGUUCUGUUAAGGCCUUGGGGUCUCCGAGUAGAGUGAGAAAUUCCGAAGGUUAGUGAAAAAUAACGAAGGAGGGAGGUAGUUUUUAUUUACUGCGAGAUGUGUAGGUGAUGUUUCGAGGUUUGGAAUGUUUCUGCUAUUUCGGGGUGUGGACUCUAGUAAACUAGGGACGUCUAAUGGCUUGGACCAAUUCGGUCGCUUGUCAGUUUUCGGCAGUGAUUUUUGUCGAGCGGCUUGGCGUCUUUCCUUUGGAGCUGGCGGCGGCUAUCUUCGGCCCUGCGGCCGCACUUGCUAUGUAGUUCUCACGCUAGGCUGUGAUUCUUAUGAGAGGAAUUCGACCGAACUGGUCCAAGCGAUUCGACAUCCCUAGUUUCUCCUAUGGCGAACACGAUGUUUGGUAUAGCAAUGUGGAAAUUGUACUCUGAUUGGCAAGGCGACCCUGUCGGCCAUGCAUCCUCGUCGAAUAUGGUUUUGUUAACGAUCCCUCGAGGAUAUUGUCCUCGGGCCAUUCUCCGAUCGUUGUGAAGUAGAUCGCAUCUCAGGGCGUUCGUCCUGUCUGCGGCGCACAGGUGGUACCUUCCUCUGUUUGGCAUUGGUUUCUUUUCCAGGAGCCUAUUUGGGUAAGCUGAGCUCGAGGAGGCUCUUGGGUGGUCAUCCAUGACCCUAAUUUGCGAUUGAUGCCGGAUACGGGCAUCCGACCAGGUCUUGGCUGGGUACCUGAUCAAGUUUUGUUUGAACUGCCCUGAAAUCGUCGGGCAUGGUUUGUUUAUGCUUUGAGUGAAUGCCAGUAUUGCCCGGUCAUCUGAGACCGAGGGUAAUCUCGUUCGUUCCAUUUGGGAACGUGGUGCAAAUUCCUGUGGCAUUUCAUUCUCCCUUUGUUCGACCCUAGAUGCAUCGGGCUUUCUCAUCGUUGCUUCGAUGGCGCCGGCGUGUGCCUUUAUGUAGGAAUCUACUGGUAUGGUGGGUGAUUUUAUCGGGCCGGGCGCUAGGUUAUGAUGCCAUAUCAUGGUUCCUUUCGAGAGUGUUUCCCCGAAACUCUUUGAUAAGACGGGCUUGAUCUCAUCAUCUUUUGGGUCGUUAGCUUUUUUCGCUCACGUAUAGGUUGUGAUAUGUUCGUUGGGAUCUGAGGUCCCGUUGUACCUAGGGAGUUCUGGCGUUUUGAGCUUCUUUGGAAUGGAUUCCGGGGUCGCUUCCUCGCGGGGCGGCCACUGCAUGAACUUCCAUGAUCCUCAUUUGAUUCUUUUGGUGAGAUCCCCAAACAUCUAUGCUAUGGCAGGGUCGGCUACCGAUCCAUUAUUGCUUGAUCUUUUGGGUACCUGUUCUGCAGGGGGAGCUGCUUCCGGCACCGCUGUGCCGGGAACCUCUGAAUGGCUUUUUAGCCAACCGAUGGCCAACUGUUGUGCCUGCAACAUCUCAAAAAUAAUGUGAAGACUAACUUUCUGUUCUUCCUUGGCUGGGGUCUUUUGGGCUUCCUAUUGGUUGCUGUGUUGUAUGCUUCCAUCAGUGCGCGGGGUUUCGUCGACCCGCUACGUGCCUUGCGAAAGCGCAUCUACUGGAAUUGGUCCAGGUGUGUUACCGAGGUUCUGCGGUGGCCCGACAAUGACUGGAACAGCCAUACCGUUUUCUCCGUGAUUUUCGAGGUAGUCGUUCUUAACCCCGUUUUCCGAGCCAGAAAUUUCGACUUGAAAUCAAGAGAACUUGGACAAGAAAAAGUGUGAAAGAUAACUUGCAUUUGUGUAGUGAAACUAGCAAGGAAAUAAUCACUAUUAUUUUUAGCCCCACGGUGGGCGCCAAACUGUUUACCGUGAAAAUGGUAACAACUAUUAAGUUUGUAAAUGGGAUUCUAAAAAUACGUGAUAUAUUUUUAUGCUAGUUGUUAGAGCAGUUGAUGCUGCGAGUAUGAAGUUUAAUGAAGAAAAACAAGCUAAAACGGGGCAAUAAUCAAACCGAGAUACCUGCAGCCCGAGCCUCGGACUAGUCGAUGAAGGACCUCGAGGUCGAUAUCUGGCUCGAGCUCGAUCUAUCGGGGGUAGUCGGGGAUGGGAUAACAAUUGAGAUAUGAUCAAACAAGGCUCUUUAUGGCAAAUACCAAGCAAUCAAUGGAGAACAAGUAUGAAGCUAAUAACACUAAGAGCGACCUCGAGCUAGUAGGAACGAGUAAGUUAUAAAGAAGAGAGAGAGAUAUAUUAUUGAUCUUGUGAAGAAAAUAGAUAGAGCAACAUCCGCCCCUUACAAAGUAUUAUGGGUUCCCUUUAUUUGGAGGGGAACCCGGUUAUAGUACAAUAUGCAUUAAUUGUAAGGUAUGGAGAUGGGAUGGCUAGACGUGAUGCUUCGGCAUAGGCUCUAGAUAGGCCGACUCUGCCAGACUUUACUUUGUGUCUUGGGAACUUCCCCUCACGCUCUAGCCCCGACCUUCAUCUUCAUGAGUCGGGCCCUGACAAGCCCCGAGGGAGGGGACUCAGUUGUAGCUCCAUGUCCUUGGGGUCUCGAGGUAUUCUUCCGAAGUGGCUUGACAGCAAGAAAUUAAGUCCUCUGAUUUCACCCCAUACAGUUUCAAAUCAUAUCAAAAAACCCCCAUAAAUGCAAAUAGCUCCAUGAAUCGAGAUUAUGAACUUUCAAAUCUUUCAACUUCUAGAACUCGCACCAAAACCUAUCAAAUCAACCCGGGAUGACGCCAAAUUUUGCAGACAAGUCCAAAAUAACAUAACAGAGCUGCUCCAACUCUCGAAAUCACAUUCUGACCCCGAUAUCAUAAAAGUAAACAAUGUGUUAAACUUUUUCAUUUUCCAAACUUCAACUUUUCCAACUUUCGCCGAAAUACCUCAAUUUACCUUACAGACCCCCAAAUCUGAAUCCGAACGCGCACCUAAGUACAAAAUCAUCAUACGAAGCUACUGACAUCAUCCAAACUCAUUGCAAAGUCGUUUACACAAAAGUCACAUUCCGGUCAAAUUCUCACGCUAGCUUCCAAAACUAGAUUCCUUCUUCCAAUUCGAUUUUGAAUCAUCUGGUAACUGAAUUCAACCAUGCAUGCAAGUCGGUAAACAUAAUAUGAAGCUUCUCACAACCUUAUGCCGUUGAAUAAAGAUUAAAUUCUCAAAACACCGGCUGGAUCAUUACAAGGCUAUCCCAUCUUUUCUUUUGGCAUGAUCCAUAUGUUACAAUGAAACGAACAAACACGCAAUUUUCACAAAUGACUCUAUUAUUAAAAGUAAUAGGGUUGCCUAUGUUUUUGAUUCCCCAUUUGACCUUUUAUUAUAUCGUCUAUUCAUGGGUCUCAUAAAAUAUGUAAGUUGAUAAUGUUUAUUUCAUGAUAUUAACAGAAGGCAUAUUGAUCUUAGGACAUCCCGAGAGAUCUUAUGCGCUACAUUGAUUUAGACAUGUACAUUUACCCCUGACCAGAUGACAUUCUAUAUGCAUAUAUUCACACCUACUUUUUACAACCCGAGGGGUAAUAUAAAGGAGUUUUUCAAUUUAAGUGACAUUAAUCGAAAUGAGAUUAUUUAAUUUAAUUUUUCGGAUUCGCCACUUGGGAUAUUUAUUAUGGUGUCCCAAGUCACCGGUUUAUUUUAAAAAUCCCAAAUCGAGGAAAUUUUUGACUUUAUUUAAAAGUCUGCGAACCAGAAAUUCUAGAUAAGGAAUUCUGUUAACCAGGGAGAAGGUGUUAGGCAUUCCCAAAUUCCGUGGUUCUAGCACAGUCGCUUAGCAAUUUAUACUUGGCUUAAAUUGUUUAACUACUCAUUUUAAGACCUAUGUGCAUUUAUUCCUUUAACCACUUUUAGUUGCUCGAUUAUUCGUAAUUUUUGAAAUUAUCUUAAAAGGAGUCACGCAUACAUGUACUCAUUUUGUUGGGCGCGUCAAGAAUCAUGUUACGUGUACGUGUCCGCAAUUAAUCACGCUUUAUUAAUAUUAAUAAAGUUUGGUUGAAGUUGCGCGAACGCAUACCUCGAUUUAUUUUUUUAGAAAAAAAAAACAUAUUUAUGUUACGCGAACGUAUACAUAAUCACGAUAAUAGACUAAGUCGCGCCUAAAGCAAACUUCAAUGUACUUAAUUGUUUCCCUAAGGUUCGGAAUUAUUGUAAGGCAAUGGAUUAUGGAUAACAAAUUAGCUAAAGAUGAUCACUUAAAGGAAUUGAUAAAUUAUGAAGAAGUGAUGGAAAUAACUUAAAAUCAUGGCCAUCUAACAUUGUUUGAACCAAAAGAAUAAGGGGAAAUGACAAAGGAAACUUGAACCAAAACUAACGAGAAUAUAGACCGACACUAUAUUAAUGAAGCUUAAAAGAAAACUUAUUUGGAAAGGAAAAGAGAAAAUCAUACUACCAGAUAUAUUACUCAUGGGUAUGAACAAAUACUUUAUUAUUAGAAAUUACAACAAGAAUCACCAAAGUUACAGUGAUUAUCCAACAAAACAUCAAUUUGAAGCUAGCUUAGAACAAAGAUCAGAAAAUUCCCGCAAAAAUCAACAUUUAAGAAUUGCAAUUAUAAAAAAAAUAGUGCGCAUAUUUCGAUUCACAACAAAUAAACAAGAGAAAGGCCAGCAUCAUAUUUUGAUUCACAAGCACAAUAUUAAAAUAAAGAGAGAAAAGAGUAAAUUGACCUCUUAUAUAACCAGCAAACCUCUGAAUGUGACAAUACUUAAAUCCAAAUGGAAAGUCUUUGACGAAUCAUUCUUUUAUAUUAAACAAUAAAGCUCCAAAUCAAGUGCACAUAAACAGUUGCUUCAAAACUCACGAACCAGCACCGAAAAUCCCGUACGGACGCCCCCAAGCUCGAACUGAAAACAGGGACAAUGAAAUGGUAGAAUGCUCGUGGACACAUGAAUUUUGGUGGCUGAUUUCGACCAAAUGAAUUUGUGGUUUUGGAGUGCUAAUAAUGUUGGUUUGCGACUGGUUUUUUGGAGGUGAGCAACGGUGGUGCUAGGAUGGUUUCAAUUUACACACAUGGCUAUUUUAUGAUGGAUGAAAAAUGGUAUUUGGUCUGCUAUUUCUCUGGUGUAAUAAAAUAGAGGUUACUUUUCCUACUCUUAGAUCUAAGUUCUUUUUAUCAAGGAAGAAGAAGAGUUCGCCUCUCUCUGUUGCUAUGUUUGUUCUUCGAAGAAAGGAGUUGCGCCCAGUUUUUCCCUUUUUCUUUUGUAUGUGCCUAGCUCUAGGUCUUAGGUUGACUGUUGAUCCUCU